ACGGUGCAGCAGCAGCGAUGUCCCAAUGCCUCAGUGAGGCUUCUUAAAGCUGUGGCGAAGGUGAGUCUGGGCCCCGCCCCUAGGCCAGGUGGAAUCAGCCUGAAGAGGGAGCGGCCUUCCCCAACACUCACGGUGCAGCAGCAGCGAUGUCCCAAUGCCUCAGUGAGGCUUCUUAAAGCUGUGGCGAAGGUGAGUCUGGGCCCCGCCCCUAGGCCUGGUGGAAUCAGCCUGAAGAGGGAGCGGCCUUCCCCAACACUCACGGUGCAGCAGCAGCGAUGUCCCAAUGCCUCAGUGAGGCUUCUUAAAGCUGUGGCGAAGGUGAGUCUGGGCCCCGCCCCCUAGGCCUGGUGGAAUCAGCCUGAAGAGGGAGCGGCCUUCCCCAACACUCACGGUGCAGCAG
Molecule: non-coding RNA, 400 nt
Organism: Podarcis lilfordi (Lilford's wall lizard)
Lineage: Eukaryota; Metazoa; Chordata; Lepidosauria; Squamata; Lacertidae
Source: the annotation of a GenBank genome assembly